UACGAAGGGGGCUAGCGUUGCUCGGAAUUACUGGGCGUAAAGAGCGCGCAGGCGGUCGUUCAAGUCGAGUGUGAAAGCCCCCGGCUCAACUGGGGAGGGUCAUUCGAUACUGAUCGACUUGAAGGCAGGAGAGGGAAGCGGAAUUCCCGGUGUAGUGGUGAAAUGCGUAGAUAUCGGGAGGAACACCAGUGGCGAAGGCGGCUUCCUGGCCUGUUCUUGACGCUGAGGCGCGAAAGCUAGGGGAGCAAACGGG
This 253-nucleotide ribosomal RNA is filed under the name uncultured bacterium. RNAcentral's name for it is "partial 16S ribosomal RNA". It matches the Rfam family "Bacterial small subunit ribosomal RNA", at positions 524 to 776 of the family's 1533-position model. The record is from RNAcentral.